This is a long non-coding RNA of Lotus japonicus, 1101 nucleotides long. RefSeq lists it as uncharacterized. The record is from RefSeq and is a predicted model, not a curated record. The transcript is spliced from 3 exons. Lineage: Eukaryota; Viridiplantae; Streptophyta; Magnoliopsida; Fabales; Fabaceae.
AAAAUUACGUUAUUAACUCUCCCAAUUUUCACUCUCUGAACUCUCAUCUCACAAUCACUCUCACUCUCACUCUGAACUCGUUUCUCAUUCUCACUCUCACGAUUGCAACCUGAUUCGUUAACCAUGGAAGCUCCUGAAUCCUUUCCACCGAUUUGAUCUCUCGAUUUCCACCGAUUGCAACCUGAUUUGAUCUCUCGAUUUCCACCGAUUUCAACCUGAUUCACUCUCGAUUUCUUUUGAUUCGACUCUCAAUUUCACUCUCCUGAUUCCACUCUCGAUUAAACCCUAAAAUCUACUCUCGAUUCUCUUCAUGAUUCCUCAAUCUCCAGUGUUUCACGAGAAAACGCUCAAUCUCUGCUUCACUUGCAUUUUCCUGGUAAGAACUCAACUCCACUUCCAUAUGAGUUUCAAUUUUGCUUCUGAUUUUGAGUUUUGUUUCUCUUUGGAAUCACAAAUUAGGCAGAAAUUCUCUGGAGCUGGAACCUAGACAUUGUUAGGAGCUGGAAGUCAUGCCAAGGUUCAAGCGUUUCCACAACCCACAAAAAUCAGCGUCUGGAUCAUCAAUUGAAGCUUCUUCACAAUCAGCUCCUGAAGUCUCUCAAAAAUCCCCACCAUCGAAGAACCCCGUGAGUACACCAUCUUGGAAUGUUGAAGCAAUAGGUUGUAUGGAGUACUCUCCAAAAUAUAUCAUUGAUUUCUUUCCUAAUUGGUAUUACUCUAUUUGGAUGGGCAACCAAGCAAGUUAUAAAUGUUAUUCAGGUUGGUUCAUGAUACAUUUAUGCUUGAUAUUUAGAUGAUGAUUGAUGAGGUGUUGUAUAAUGUAUCUAUCUAGUUUUUUUACCAACCCCUACCCCAUAAUGAAAUGAGGAAGAAGAAGAGAAGCAAAGCAUGUAAGAGAAGAAAAGAAAAUCCAAACUCCAAAGAAAACCGAGCGGAACUUAAUAGUCUAUAUUUUUCAGUUUGGAAUAUUCAUCUUGACAGAGUAAUGGGAAAUUUGUAACCUUUGAGUUCCUGUAAUCUGAACUUUCUUUUAGCAUGACUCAGGAACUUCAUAUUGUGACCUGAUAAUUGGCUUCAAAGAUUUUUUUUACAUUCUAGCUA